Ribosomal RNA from Lycium barbarum (goji berry), 119 nucleotides. NCBI's taxonomy places the organism in Eukaryota, Viridiplantae, Streptophyta, Magnoliopsida, Solanales, Solanaceae. The record is from RefSeq and is a predicted model, not a curated record.
GGAUGCGAUCAUACCGGAACUGAAGCACCGGAUCCCAUCAGAACUCUAAAGUUAAGCAUGCUUGGGCUAGAGUAGUACUAGGAUGGGUGAGCCCUUGGGAAGUCCUCGUGUUGCAUCCC